RNAcentral lists this ribosomal RNA (572 nucleotides) under Pipizella viduata. RNAcentral's name for it is "eukaryotic LSU rRNA". Lineage: Eukaryota; Metazoa; Arthropoda; Insecta; Diptera; Syrphidae. The record is from RNAcentral.
AGUACGUGAAACUGCUUAGAGGUUAAACCCGAUGAACCUGAAUAUCCGUUAUGGAAAAUUCAUCAUUAAUAUUAUUAUAUUUAAAAAUAUAUUAAAAAUAGUGUGCAAUUUUUCCAUAUAAGGACAUUGUAAUCUGUUAAUGUAUUAAAUAUUUAUCAAAAAAUCUAAAACAUUAGUUUAUUCAAAUUAGUUAUUUUCGAAUUUCUAACAUAGAAUAAUUGUAUUAGAUUUGAUAAAUCAUUGACAGAUUUUACUAUAUAUAAUGCUUAAAUUCUUUUUGAAUUUUAUAAUUAUAGUAAAAAUUUAUUUUUAUUUAUAAUUAUAUGCAUUUAUAUGAUUAACAAUGCGAUAGAUUCAGGAUACCUUCGGGACCCGUCUUGAAACACGGACCAAGGAGUCUAACAUAUGUGCAAGUCAUUGGGUAUUUUUAAUAAAACCCAAUGGCAUAAUUAACUUAACUGUUUUUUAAUGGGAUUAGUUUGUAUUUUAUUAUGAAAUAUAAAUUCAAUCCCGGGGCGUUCUAUAUAGUUAUGCAUAAUGAUAUUUAUAUUAUUUAUGCCUCUAACUAGAGC